This 497-nucleotide ribosomal RNA is filed under the name uncultured bacterium. Its description in RNAcentral is "partial 16S ribosomal RNA". It matches the Rfam family "Bacterial small subunit ribosomal RNA", at positions 28 to 507 of the family's 1533-position model. The record is from RNAcentral.
GAUGAACGCUGGCGGCGUGCCUAAUACAUGCAAGUCGAGCGAACAGACGAGGAGCUUGCUCCUCUGACGUUAGCGGCGGACGGGUGAGUAACACGUGGAUAACCUACCUAUAAGACUGGGAUAACUUCGGGAAACCGGAGCUAAUACCGGAUAAUAUAUUGAACCGCAUGGUUCAAUAGUGAAAGACGGUUUUGCUGUCACUUAUAGAUGGAUCCGCGCCGCAUUAGCGAGUUGGUAAGGUAACGGCUUACCAAGGCAACGAUGCGUAGCCGACCUGAGAGGGUGAACGGCCAGACUGGAACUGAGACAGGUUCCAGACUCCGACGGGGGGCCGCAGUAGGGAAUCUUCCGCAAUGGGCGAAAGCCUGACGGUGCAACACCGCGUGAGUGAUGAAGGUCUUCUGAUCGUAAAACUCUGUUAUUAGGGAGGAACAAAUGUGUAAGUAACUAUGCAGGUCUUGACGGUACCUAAUCAGAAAGCCACGGCUAACUACGUG